UACGAGGGGUGCAAGCGUUGCUCGGAAUUAUUGGGCGUAAAGGGUUGGUAGGUGGUCUUAUUUGUCUGGGGUGAAAGCCUUGGGCUUAACUCAAGAAGUGCCCCAGAAACGGUAAGACUAGAGUCUCGGAGAGGGUCGUGGAAUUCCCGGUGUGAGCGGUGAAAUGCGUAGAGAUCGGGGAGGAACACCAGCGGCGAAGGCGGCGACCUGGACGAGCACUGACACUCAACAACGAAAGCGUGGGGAGCAAACAGGA
Molecule: ribosomal RNA, 256 nt
Filed under: uncultured bacterium
Lineage: Bacteria
Description: partial 16S ribosomal RNA
Rfam family: Bacterial small subunit ribosomal RNA
Source: RNAcentral